Aedes aegypti (yellow fever mosquito) is the source of this 729-nucleotide RNA transcript. RefSeq lists it as uncharacterized. The transcript is spliced from 3 exons. NCBI's taxonomy places the organism in Eukaryota, Metazoa, Arthropoda, Insecta, Diptera, Culicidae. The record is from RefSeq and is a predicted model, not a curated record.
GCUGCUUGCUCAAACAUAUGUCAUAUUUUAUUACAUACUUUAUUGUUUCGAUUUUGGAUAUUUGGUUCACAGAAAUUGUUAGUAUGGCAUAAAACGUCGUCAUUUUAAUUAGUUGCUUACAUCGAUACAAACCUUUUCGAAAUAUUGGUGCGGAAACUAUUUGUAGUAUUCGUUUCUUGUUUGAAAAUAUAUCAAAAGUUUGCUGCGGUUUCGGAAAGUAAUUUACAGUAUAACAAUGGGUUUGCCGGAAUUACCUGAUCAAAACAAUGGAGACGAUUUCCGCAUGGAAGAGGACUUCUCUAUUAAUGCUGACGGAACAACAGAUGACAGUGAAAACGAAUAUUACGAAGAGAAUGAAUAUAUGGGCUACCAACCGUUAAACAUGAGAGACAGCAGCAACACAAUAGAGGAGGAGAGUGAUGAAUCUGAAUCAAAUACCACAGUUAUACUUGAUGCUUCAGCUACUCAUGAACUACUAAACGUGGAUGUGUGGAAUGCACCUAGGCCCAAUGAACUCAAUAUAGAAUUGGAUUCAGAAAAAGCAGAGCAGAUUCGUAAUGUAAUGGCUGAUUUCAAGUUACCAAAUGCAUCGGUUCCACAGUGGGCAAUUGGAAUACCAGAAGAAAGCUGGAAGGAAGAAUUGUUAUUACGCAUUCGCCAAAGACAAAAUUGUCAAGCUGCUGAUGAAAAUUCGAAUAAUAGCAAUAAUAAAUAAUUCGUAUGAAUAAA